GGCUGCAAUCAUACCAGCACUAAUGCACCGGAUCCCAUCAAAAUUCUGGAGUUAAGCGUGUUUGGGCGAGAGUAGUACUAGGAUGGGUGACCUCCUAGGAAGUCCUCGUAUUGCACCCC
Molecule: ribosomal RNA, 119 nt
Filed under: Beta vulgaris subsp. vulgaris (sugar beet)
Lineage: Eukaryota; Viridiplantae; Streptophyta; Magnoliopsida; Caryophyllales; Amaranthaceae
Source: RNAcentral